This 1463-nucleotide long non-coding RNA is filed under the name Phaseolus vulgaris (common bean). RNAcentral's name for it is "long non-coding RNA (PVUL_LNC001634)". The record is from RNAcentral. Lineage: Eukaryota; Viridiplantae; Streptophyta; Magnoliopsida; Fabales; Fabaceae.
CCAAGGUAUUCUAAACAUGGAAUUUCUCUAGCUUGAGUGUGAGAGAUAUGCUUGGUUAGGUUUUCUUGUCUCUCUUUCCUAGCUCUCCUAGGGAAUUGUUGAUGAUAUUCAUUUUUCCUAAGACUUUCUUCCCCAAGAUAAUCAUGAUGUUUAGAGCUAGAUGCAUGAGAAUGUAAUUUUUUUGAAAAUUGAGACUUCUCAUUCUUUGCUUUAGUCAAUUCAUUAGUUUUGAUCUCAUUCUCCAAUUGUUUAGAUGAAAUGGAUUGAAUAUCCUUAGUAAGUUGCUUCAAAAGAGAUUUCAAGGAUUUCACCUCACUUUUAAGAGAUUUAGAGGAGUGAGAAGACAUGACUAAAACUUUGUGUGUAGAAGUAUUUUACCUUGAGAAAAAUUUAGGGAAGUCAAAGAAGGUAGUCUUCCAGGUAAGGGAGGUGAGUCACAGUGGACUACUUAAAUACCAAGCCUUUGCCUUAGCCAAAAACUAUCCCUCAAUGUCUUCACACAAAGCUUUCUCUUAGUAAACCACUUGGAACACAAUUAAGUUGAGAAAUCAGAUUUUAAUGCAAGAAAACAAUGCAUGCUAACUAAUUAACAAAGCUAGACGGUUUUUAACAAAACUUAAACAAAAUUAAACAUGCAAAACGUAUCUAUGAAAGCAAAAGAAAAGCAAUUACAAACAAGCAACAAAUUACUAAGCAAAAUAACUAUGCUAUUCGGCCCUAGGUGAGGCUUCUUGGACACUUUGAGCCCUCGAAGACACACUCACCGUCUAAAACGUAAUUUAAAAGAGGUAAUUAACAAUAAUCCAAGUUGUAAAGGAGAUAAGAAAACUCCCUUUGUUGUUCCUCUUUUUGGUUAGUGCACUUUCUUUGUUGUCUUGAUUGUUGAUCUUCUAGGUGUUUGUAGUGUUUGUUUCAAGAAACUUGUUUCGGCCUUAGCUUGACUCCUCCUUAGAAAGUUGGCUUUAAUUCUCCAAUUUCCAGCACCUAUUCACAAGGGCUUAGCCUUAAAUCAAGUCAAUUUCCAUGCACAUAAGCACCAAGAGAGAAUUAAUUUCCAGCACCCAUAAAAGAGAGGUCAAGAAACAAAAGCAAGAAACAAAUUUAAUUGAAAGAAAACAGUACCACCAAAAGGAUUUAUAAUAUGACAACUUAGAAAGAGAUUCAAGGAAUUAAAGCAAACAAUUAAAGGUACUCAAUAAAAGUUGGCACACAAAAGGAAUUCCUAAAGAAAAGCACUAGAUUAGAUGACCAAAUAAAAAAAACAGCACCACUGGAAAAUGUUGUGGGCCAGAAAACAGUUUUGUUCCCCGAUUUAUGCUGAGCUGUAAUUGUAAAAUUUGUUUCUGAAAUUUGGAUACAAGAAAAUUCAGGAUCUUAGCUAAAUUUUGGCUUUGGAAUCACCUAAAACGCAUGCACCAUUUUUUUUUAAUAAUUUUUGCAAAUUUGGUGUGCAGUUAGGCCAG